CCAAAAACGGAAUUAUAGUCCUUUUUAGAAAAAUUAACUACUAAACUUGAUAGAAAAAAUUAUUACUAGUUAGAAAGAUUAUGGUAAUUAAAAUGAAUCCAGUCUAUAGCUUUGAAAAAUAUAUAAAUAUAUAUUCAGUAUUUCUAGGAUAUUUAGGUUAAUAAGGUGCCAGCAACCGCGGUCAAACCUUAUUAAUAAAUAAUUUAUUAUAAACUACUACAUUGAAUAUAUAAAUUUAUAGUAUGCAGUGAAAUGUUGCUAUAUUUCUAAAGUCCCAAUAUAUCUCCUCAUAUAUAAAAUAAAAUAAGAUAGAAAACUAGGAUUAGAUACCCUAUUAUUCUUAACCCGUAGCCAGUAGAUUGAGGAGUAAAAUUACUAUAAACUCAAAAGUCAUGGCGGCUAUUAAAAUUUAUCAGGGGAGCUUACCAAAUAAUUGAUAACCACCAAGAUAUUCUUCUUUUGUUUAAAGUUUGUAUGCCGUCGUCUUAAAUUUUUCGGAGAAAAAUUUUUUUACUACUAAGUAAGAAAAAGACAGAUCAAGGUGCAGCUAAUGCUAAAGAUCUGGGCGAGCUACAGUAACCCAAUAUUAACCCAUGCAACUUUAAAUACUUGCUGAAGUUGGACUUGAAAGUAAGUUACAAAUAAAAAAUAAUAGCUGAAUAGUCUGUUUAAUAGUGU
RNAcentral lists this ribosomal RNA (678 nucleotides) under Orcula dolium. RNAcentral describes it as "partial 12S ribosomal RNA". Lineage: Eukaryota; Metazoa; Mollusca; Gastropoda; Stylommatophora; Orculidae. The record is from RNAcentral.